This 330-nucleotide ribosomal RNA is filed under the name uncultured eukaryote. RNAcentral describes it as "partial 18S ribosomal RNA". It matches the Rfam family "Eukaryotic small subunit ribosomal RNA", at positions 1470 to 1796 of the family's 1831-position model. The record is from RNAcentral.
CCCUUAGAUGUCCUGGGCCGCACGCGCGCUACACUGAUGCAUGCAACGAGUUUAUAACCUUGGCCUGAAAGGUCUGGGUAAUCUUUUGAACGUGCAUCGUGAUAGGGAUAGAUUAUUGCAAUUGUUAAUCUUGAACGAGGAAUUCCUAGUAAACGCGAGUCAUCAGCUCGCAUUGAUUACGUCCCUGCCCUUUGUACACACCGCCCGUCGCACCUACCGAUUGAAUGGUUCGGUGAAGAUCUCGGGAUUGUGGUUCUUGCCGCUUUAUUGUGGCGUGACCGCGAGAACUUGUCUAAACCUUAUCAUCUAGAGGAAGGUGAAGUCGUAACA